AGUUUGAUCCUGGCUCAGAGUGAACGCUAGCGGCAGGCUUAAUACAUGCAAGUCGAACGGCAGCGGGUCCAGCAAUGGAUGCCGGCGAGUGGCGCACGGGUGCGUAACACGUAUGCAACCUACCUUUAACCGGGACAUAACCUCGAGAAAUCGUGGCUAAUAUUCCAUAAUAUCUUUGAAUCGCAUGGUUUGAAGAUCAAAAUUCCGAUGGUUUUAGAUGGGCAUGCGCGACAUUAGCUAGUUGGUGAGGUAAUGGCUCACCAAGGCUACGAUGUUUAGGGGGUCUGAGAGGAUGAUCCCCCACACUGGUACUGAGACACGGACCAGACUCCUACGGGAGGCAGCAGUAAGGAAUAUUGGGCAAUGGGCGCAAGCCUGACCCAGCCAUGCCGCGUGCAGGAUGACAGCCCUACGGGUUGUAAACUGCUUUUAUACGGGAAAAAACCCUCUGACGUGUCAGAGGCUGAUGGUACCGUAAGAAUAAGCAUCGGCUAACUCCGUGCCAGCAGCCGCGGUAAUACGGAGGAUGCAAGCGUUAUCCGGAUUUACUGGGUUUAAAGGGUGCGCAGGCGGAACGACAAGUCAGUGGUGAAAUCUCCUGGCUCAACCAGGAAACUGCCAUUGAUACUAUCGUUCUUGAGUCCAGUUGAAGUAGGCGGAAUGUAGCAUGUAGCGGUGAAAUGCUUAGAUAUGCUACAGAACACCGAUAGCGAAGGCAGCUUACUAAACUGAAACUGACGCUCAUGCACGAAAGCGUGGGGAUCAAACAGGAUUAGAUACCCUGGUAGUCCACGCCCUAA
Molecule: ribosomal RNA, 800 nt
Filed under: uncultured bacterium
Lineage: Bacteria
Description: bacterial SSU rRNA
Rfam family: Bacterial small subunit ribosomal RNA
Source: RNAcentral